UAAACGACUCUCGGCAACGGAUAUCUCGGCUCUCGCAUCGAUGAAGAACGUAGCGAAAUGCGAUACUUGGUGUGAAUUGCAGAAUCCCGUGAACCAUCGAGUCUUUGAACGCAAGUUGCGCCCGAAGCCAUUAGGUCGAGGGCACGCCUGCCUGGGCGU
RNAcentral lists this ribosomal RNA (159 nucleotides) under Codonanthe carnosa. Its description in RNAcentral is "5.8S ribosomal RNA". It matches the Rfam family "5.8S ribosomal RNA". From Rfam's summary of the family: 5.8S ribosomal RNA (5.8S rRNA) is a component of the large subunit of the eukaryotic ribosome. It is transcribed by RNA polymerase I as part of the 45S precursor that also contains 18S and 28S rRNA. The record is from RNAcentral. RNAcentral also lists the same sequence under 3 other names. Lineage: Eukaryota; Viridiplantae; Streptophyta; Magnoliopsida; Lamiales; Gesneriaceae.